ACACCGGCAGCCCGAGUGGUGGCCACUAUUAUUGGGCCUAAAGCGUCCGUAGCCGGUCCGGUAAGUCCCUGUGGAAAUCCUCAGGCUCAACCGGAGGAAAUGCGGGGAUACUGCCGGACUCGGGGCCGGGAGACGCGGAGGGUACUCCAGGGGUAGCGGUGAAAUGCUGUAAUCCCUGGGGGACCACCAGUGGCGAAGGCGCUCCGCGAGAACGGGCCCGACGGUGAGGGACGAAAGCCAGGGGAGCGAACGGGAUUAGAUACCCUAGUAGUCC
This 274-nucleotide ribosomal RNA is filed under the name uncultured bacterium. Its description in RNAcentral is "partial 16S ribosomal RNA". It matches the Rfam family "Archaeal small subunit ribosomal RNA", at positions 473 to 747 of the family's 1478-position model. The record is from RNAcentral.